ACCUUCAAAAACAGUUGUCCUGUCCUAGGAUUGAAAAUGAAAAUUGCACCAUUUAUGGGCUUUGUCGUCAGAUUUCCCUCAAAGGUCUUGUGGAUGGUCACUCGGUACACAUUUGUGUCAUCAACAAACCAUAUAAUUUGAUUGCUGAAAAUCUCUCCAUAAUUCUGAGAUGAUAAGUAUGGUUCUGUGGGCUCCUUAGAGGACAAUGGAGUUUGCCCAAGAGUAAACAAGAAAAUUACGGUCGAACAACUGCAUUUACCUUCAAAAACAGUUGUCCUGUCCUAGGAUUGAAAAUGAAAAUUGCACCAUUUGUCAUAGAGGACAAUGGAGUUUGCCAAAGAGUAAACAAGAAAAUUACGGUUGAACUGCAUUUACCUUCAAAAACAGUUGUCCUGUCCUAGGAUUGAAAAUGAAAAUUGCACCAUUUAUGGGCUUUGUCGUCAGAUUUCCCUCAAAGGUCUUGUGGAUGGUCACUCGGUACACAUUUGUGUCAUCAACAAACCAUAUAAUUUGAUUGCUGAAAAUCUCUCCAUAAUUCUGAGAUGAUAAGUAUGGUUCUGUGGGCUCUGAAGAAUACAGUUGCAACCCUUUCCUUAUGCGUUCCCUCAGAACAUAGAGGGCAGGAUUUGACUGCAUAAUGGAACUUAAGGAUGUUAAGAAACUUUCAGCUGCAACAUAUACUACACACAAACCAGUUCUUGAAAAUAAUGGAUGAUUGGAAGGGGAAAAAUACCUUCAUAAUCUUGUUCAUGGCUUGGGCAAGCAAUGGUUUUGAACCAGGGAACCAGUUACCAAAGGCGGAAUGCAAGUUGUAAGCAAGGUCAAGUCCAAUCAUUACACCUGCAAAAAAGAAAUAACUAUUGACUUUCUGAAAAGGGGAAUAAAUUCAGUUGAUCACUAGAUGCACACGUGACAUACCAGUAGGAGAUGGAUAAAUAGACAUGUUGUCCGUUGUGUAAUCCAAUUGCAACCCUUUCCUU
Molecule: long non-coding RNA, 980 nt
Filed under: Nicotiana benthamiana
Lineage: Eukaryota; Viridiplantae; Streptophyta; Magnoliopsida; Solanales; Solanaceae
Description: long non-coding RNA (NBEN_LNC008209)
Source: RNAcentral